UCUGUCUGUCUCUCAGAGAGUAGGUAGGUGCUGGUGGACUCCAGUAUGUAUCUGUCUGUCUGUCAGAGAGUAGGUAGGUGCUAGUGGACUCCAGUAUGUAUCUGUCUGUCUGUCAGAGAGUAGGUAGGUGCUGGUGGACUCCAGUAUGUAUCUGUCUGUCUGUCAGAGAGUAGGUAGGUGCUAGUGGACUCCAGUAUGUAUCUGUCUGUCUGUCAGAGAGUAGGUAGGUGCUAGUGGACUCCAGUAUGUAUCUGUCUGUCUGUCAGAGAGUAGGUAGGUGCUAGUGGACUCCAGUAUGUAUCUGUCUGUCUGUCAGAGAGUAGGUAGGUGCUAGUGGACUCCAGUAUGUAUCUGUCUGUCUGUCAGAGAGUAGGUAGGUGCUAGUGGACUCCAGUAUGUAUCUGUCUGUCUGUCAGAGAGUAGGUAGGUGCUAGUGGACUCCAGUAUGUAUCUGUCUGUCUGUCAGAGAGUAGGUAGGUGCUAGUGGACUCCAGUAUGUAUCUGUCUGUCUGUCAGAGAGUAGGUAGGUGCUAGUGGACUCCAGUAUGUAUCUGUCUGUCUGUCAGAGAGUAGGUAGGUGCUGGUGGACUCCAGUAUGUAUCUGUCUGUCUGUCAGAGAGUAGGUAGGUGCUGGUGGACUCCAGUAUGUAUCUGUCUGUCAGAGAGUAGGUAGGUGCUAGUGGACUCCAGUAUGUAUCUGUCUGUCUGUCAGAGAGUAGGUAGGUGCUAGUGGACUCCAGUAUGUAUCUGUCUGUCUGUCAGAGAGUAGGUAGGUGCUGGUGGACUCCAGUAUGUAUCUGUCUGUCUGUCAGAGAGUAGGUAGGUGCUAGUGGACUCCAGUAUGUAUCUGUCUGUCUGUCAGAGAGUAGGUAGGUGCUAGUGGACUCCAGUAUGUAUCUGUCUGUCUGUCAGAGAGUAGGUAGGUGCUAGUGGACUCCAGUAUGUAUCUGUCUGUCUGUCAGAGAGUAGGUAGGUGCUAGUGGACUCCAGUAUGUAUCUGUCUGUCUGUCAGAGAGUAGGUAGGUGCUAGUGGACUCCAGUAUGUAUCUGUCUGUCUGUCAGAGAGUAGGUAGGUGCUGGUGGACUCCAGUAUGUAUCUGUCUGUCUGUCAGAGAGUAGGUAGGUGCUAGUGGACUCCAGUAUGUAUCUGUCUGUCUGUCAGAGAGUAGGUAGGUGCUAGUGGACUCCAGUAUGUAUCUGUCUGUCUGUCAGAGAGUAGGUAGGUGCUAGUGGACUCCAGUAUGUAUCUGUCUGUCUGUCAGAGAGUAGGUAGGUGCUGGUGGACUCCAGUAUGUAUCUGUCUGUCUGUCAGAGAGUAGGUAGGUGCUAGUGGACUCCAGUAUGUAUCUGUCUGUCUGUCAGAGAGUAGGUAGGUGCUAGUGGACUCCAGUAUGUAUCUGUCUGUCUGUCAGAGAGUAGGUAGGUGCUAGUGGACUCCAGUAUGUAUCUGUCUGUCUGUCAGAGAGUAGGUAGGUGCUAGUGGACUCCAGUAUGUGUCUGUCUGUCAGAGAGUAGGUAGGUGCUAGUGGACUCCAGUAUGUAUCUGUCUGUCUGUCAGAGAGUAGGUAGGUGCUAGUGGACUCCAGUAUGUAUCUGUCUGUCUGUCAGAGAGUAGGUAGGUGCUAGUGGACUCCAGUAUGUAUCUGUCUGUCUGUCAGAGAGUAGGUAGGUGCUAGUGGACUCCAGUAUGUAUCUGUCUGUCUGUCAGAGAGUAGGUAGGUGCUAGUGGACUCCAGUAUGUGUCUGUCUGUCAGAGAGUAGGUAGGUGCUAGUGGACUCCAGUAUGUAUCUGUCUGUCUGUCAGAGAGUAGGUAGGUGCUAGUGGACUCCAGUAUGUAUCUGUCUGUCUGUCAGAGAGUAGGUAGGUGCUAGUGGACUCCAGUAUGUGUCUGUCUGUCAGAGAGUAGGUAGGUGCUAGUGGACUCCAGUAUGUAUCUGUCUGUCUGUCAGAGAGUAGGUAGGUGCUAGUGGACUCCAGUAUGUAUCUGUCUGUCUGUCAGAGAGUAGGUAGGUGCUGGUGGACUCCAGUAUGUAUCUGUCUGUCUGUCAGAGAGUAGGUAGGUGCUAGUGGACUCCAGUAUGUAUCUGUCUGUCUGUCAGAGAGUAGGUAGGUGCUAGUGGACUCCAGUAUGUAUCUGUCUGUCUGUCAGAGAGUAGGUAGGUGCUAGUGGACUCCAGUAUGUAUCUGUCUGUCUGUCAGAGAGUAGGUAGGUGCUAGUGGACUCCAGUAUUUAUCUGUCUGUCUGUCAGAGAGUAGGUAGGUGCUAGUGGACUCCAGUAUGUAUCUGUCUGUCUGUCAGAGAGUAGGUAGGUGCUGGUGGACUCCAGUAUGUAUCUGUCUGUCUGUCAGAGAGUAGGUAGGUGCUAGUGGACUCCAGUAUGUAUCUGUCUGUCUGUCAGAGAGUAG
Molecule: long non-coding RNA, 2407 nt
Organism: Oncorhynchus keta (chum salmon)
Lineage: Eukaryota; Metazoa; Chordata; Actinopteri; Salmoniformes; Salmonidae
Exons: 3
Source: RefSeq, a predicted model, not a curated record